UAAGGAAUAUUGGUCAAUGGACGCAAGUCUGAACCAGCCAUGCCGCGUGAAGGAUGAAGGUCCUCUGGAUUGUAAACUUCUUUUAUCUGGGACGAAAACGGGAUUUUUAUCUCAAUUGACGGUACCAGAGGAAUAAGCACCGGCUAACUCCGUGCCAGCGGCCGCGGUAAUACGGAGGGUGCAAGCGUUAUCCGGAUUCACUGGGUUUAAAGGGUGCGUAGGUGGGCAGAUAAGUCAGUGGUGAAAUCUUCCGGCUUAACCGGAAAAUUGCCGUUGAUACUAUUUGUCUUGAAUAUUGUGGAGGUAAGCGGAAUAUGUCAUGUAGCGGUGAAAUGCUUAGAUAUGACAUAGAACACCAAUUGCGAAGGCAGCUUACUAUAUAAUUAUUGACGCUGAGGCACGAAAGCGUGGGUAGCGAACA
RNAcentral lists this ribosomal RNA (421 nucleotides) under uncultured bacterium. RNAcentral's name for it is "bacterial SSU rRNA". It matches the Rfam family "Bacterial small subunit ribosomal RNA", at positions 355 to 774 of the family's 1533-position model. The record is from RNAcentral.